GUGCCGUGGCUGUAUGUCAGAAACACAGACCUAGGUGCCGUGGCUGUAUGUCAGAAACACAGACCUAGGUGCCGUGGCUGUAUGUCAGAAACACAGACCUAGGUGCCGUGGCUGUAUGUCAGAAACACAGACCUAGGUGCCGUGGCUGUAUGUCAGAAACACAGACCUAGGUGCCGUGGCUGUAUGUCAGAAACACAGACCUAGGUGCCGUGGCUGUAUGUCAGAAAUACAGCCUGGUGUGCCGUAUGUCAGAAACACAGACCUAGGUGCCGUGGCUGUACGUCAGAAAUGCAGACCUGAGUGCCGUUGGUCUCUGUGCCCGUAGUAGAAGGGAGGCCUCCUUCGCUAGCGAGUGAAAACUGUGCCUAAUACUCAGCAAGGAGAUCCAUCGUUUUUGGUGCUGUUGGUUAUUAUUACUGUAUAACAAUACAAAAGAAAGGUGAGGUGCUGGCUAACUACUACUCUCCUCUCCCACAGGGAUGAGGUUCAAGGUUUUCAUGUCCCACAGGGUUAGGGUUCUAGGCUCUCUUCUCCCACAGGGUUAGGUUAGGGUUCUAAGCUCUCUUCUCCCACAGGGUGAGGUUAGGGUUCUAGGCUCUCUUCUCCCACAGGGUGAGGUUAGGGUUCUAGGCUCUCCACUCCCACAGGGUUAGGGUUCUAGGCUCUCCACUCCCACAGGGUUAGGUUAGGGUUCUAGGCUCUUCUCUCCCACAGGGUUAGGGUUCUAGGCUCUCUUCUCCCACAGGGUUAGGUUAGGGUUCUAGGCUCUCUUCUCCCACAGGGUUAGGUUAGGGUUCUAGGCUCUCCUCUCCCACAGGGUUAGGGUUCUAGGCUCUCCUCUCCCACAGGGUUAGGUUAGGGUUCUAGGCUCUCCUUUUCUAGAUGUGCAAUCAUGUUAACAUUCCAUUCUUCCAGUCCUAUUGUUUCAGCUGUACCAGUAAACAUGACUUAUUUUAUUAUUAUUUUAUAUUUUUAUUGUGUAUGCGUUCUGAUGUGCGUGUAGAACCACUAGUCAAAGGGUGUAAAAUGUGAAAUAUGGAAAUCCAUGUUGUUUUUUUUGCUUUUGCAUUUUCCCUUUUUCAGAUGUAUUAUGUUUGAUUUUAGGAGACAGUCCAACACAAAAACAAACUUUUGUACAUAAUCCUGUAAAUGUCUUUAAAUACUUGAGCCUUUUCUGGGGUGAAGGAAGGAAUGAUGCCUCUAAAGGUUUUAGCGGAAGCAAGGGAGGAAGUGCUUGAUGAAGAAAAAGCCUUACGUUUCAGUUUCUUCAUGUGUGUGAGUUUGAUGCUUACAGGGUUGCUCUGGUUACGUGUAUACAUCUAAGUGCUGCUUACAUCAGUGAGAAAGAUAUGGAGUAGCAAUGGCCCCCUAUUUUAUUUUUAUUUUUUAGCUUUACUUUUUUAAAGAAAAGGGAAAAUAUGUUAAUAAAAAAAAUUGUUUUAAAUUUUCAUUACUGAAAAUUCAACAAUGUAGUAGCUCAUGUUGCACUGAGCUUGCCAGUGGUGGCUGACAAGGUGAUCCUAUUAUCAAGUUUGUUGGUUGUUGUCCUUUACAGAAGACUGAAUUGUUUUAGGAGUAUUUAAUGAAAACCAAGUUGGGUGUUUUCCACAGAAAGUGGUUGUCAAGUUUUUAUGGCCUUACAAUGUAUUUUAUUCAGAAUUUUUUUUUUUUUGCAUUUUCUUUUUCUACAGUAUAAACUAUUGCUCACGGUCGGUCUGGCAAGUUAAUUUAUUAGCGAUGCGUCUCCAACUUUCCUUCCACUUGGAAAGAUUUCAUGUUGGUUAUAUUGCCAGUUUUUUUUUUUUUACAUUUGCAGUUUGUACUAAAGGUUUAAUAAAAACGUACAGACAAUUCAC
This is a long non-coding RNA of Oncorhynchus tshawytscha (Chinook salmon), 1856 nucleotides long. The record is from Ensembl. NCBI's taxonomy places the organism in Eukaryota, Metazoa, Chordata, Actinopteri, Salmoniformes, Salmonidae.